GCCAGGCAUGGUGGCGCAUGCCUGUAAUCCUAGCUACUUGGAGGCUGAGGCAGGAGAAUUGCUUGAACCCCGGAGGUGGAGGUUGCAGUGAGUGGAGAUCGCAACACUGCACUCCAGCCUGGGCAACAGAGCGAAACUCUGUCUCCA
RNAcentral lists this non-coding RNA (147 nucleotides) under Pan paniscus (pygmy chimpanzee). Lineage: Eukaryota; Metazoa; Chordata; Mammalia; Primates; Hominidae. RNAcentral also lists the same sequence under 1 other name. The record is from Rfam by way of RNAcentral.